This 242-nucleotide ribosomal RNA is filed under the name uncultured bacterium. Its description in RNAcentral is "partial small subunit ribosomal RNA". It matches the Rfam family "Bacterial small subunit ribosomal RNA", at positions 26 to 285 of the family's 1533-position model. The record is from RNAcentral.
AGAAUCAACGCUGGCGGCGUGCCUAACACAUGCAAGUCGAACGAGAAAGUGGAGCAAUCCAUGAGUAAAGUGGCGACCGGGUGAGUAACACGUGACUAACCUACCUUCGAGUGGGGAUAACCUCGGGAAACCGAGGCUAAUACCGCAUAACAUCGCAAGAUCAAAGCAGCAAUGCGCUGGAAGAGGGGUCGCGGCUGAUUAGCUAGUUGGCGGGUAAUGGCCCACCAAGGCGAAGAUCGGUA